Long non-coding RNA from Callorhinchus milii (elephant shark), 453 nucleotides. RefSeq lists it as uncharacterized. NCBI's taxonomy places the organism in Eukaryota, Metazoa, Chordata, Chondrichthyes, Chimaeriformes, Callorhinchidae. The transcript is spliced from 3 exons. The record is from RefSeq and is a predicted model, not a curated record.
GACGGACGAACGAACGAACGGACUGCAGCCAACGGGCCGAGCGAGUGAUGGUGGGGCGCAUGCGCUUCUGAAGGAGAGACCCAGCACUCGGGAAGAGAGAACUAAAGUAACUCUGUCCUAAAGCUUCUGACAAUGGGACAUAAAAAUACAGAACAGCUGGAGACGCAGAGAGCAGCUGUCCUUGAGUACCACAGUCAAGCAGUUAUCCUUUUACGUCUGACCCUGGACAGUGAAUGGUGGUGUGGGACGAAUUACUCAUGCACAGAGGACAUCACAAACAAGAUCCUUUUUUUACUCGGUAUCCACACAUAUGUAAUUCUAGCAGUUGUAACUGCAAUUGUAAUCAGUAAAGCAAAUCGUGGCCAUUUUUCCCCUUUUUAGCUCAGGGUCAUAGGAACCAAUAAUAUCUCCAGUUAUACUGUACUACCUCUACCACAAUCCCAGCUGACUCAG